Molecule: long non-coding RNA, 2076 nt
Organism: Hylaeus anthracinus
Lineage: Eukaryota; Metazoa; Arthropoda; Insecta; Hymenoptera; Colletidae
Exons: 3
Source: RefSeq, a predicted model, not a curated record
GAGAACGAUCGUUAAAGGUUUCGCGAUGUUGUCUACGCGUUGAAUUGCACCGUUCAAACGGCGGGUCGUCUUGACUUUGUAAAUGAAGUCAGCUGCAGUGACAACGCGUCUCGGCCUGUCUCUGACGUCGUUUCAUGGUAAUUAACUCUAUUCAUUUAGGCGCAAACGCUCGGCGACUGAAUAAACGUUUCCCUUCUGGUAAUUGACUGAGAGUGUCGCGCGGAGUGACGCAAGUAUUUUUUCCUUUUUUUUUAUACGCAGAUCAAACACUUGCCAGAGAGCAUACGAAAAAGACGAAACUCCGACAUUGUUUGCGGAGUGCUAAUCGCUUCGAAGGUGUGACGACUAAAUACCGGCAGCCGUGUGUACGAACACGACUCGUGUUUGCGUUUAAUAUGUCGUUUCUCGCUUGGGGACGCGGACAUUUUGCGAAACUUUCGACAAGGGACUUCUUUACUGGCUGGAAAAAUAGGAAAUUAAUCGAACUAUCUCGAUUACGUAUGGUCACGCAUAUCCAGUGAUAAAUGUGGAAAUUAUGAUGAAAGUACAGCAAGCGUGUUAAUGAAUUCAGUAAUUAAGUCCACUCUUCGAGAUAUUAUCGAGAAACCAGUGUGAAACCACUUCGCUUCUUCGAGUACUGGUAAUUAUAGGAUGAUAGCGAAAAGUGCAAUGGUUCAGCUAUAUAGGUGUUUACGCUAUCGUCUAUCUUACUAUUCCAGUGUAAACUUGUUAUGCCAAGUUUUGAAUAUUAAUGAAAAAGACUCUCAAACACUGCAACUCUUUUUUGUUUUACUUUACAAUACACUGGCUCCUUGUAGUCGAAUACUUGAAAUCUAACACAUGGAGAUGGACCCUUUUAAGGAGGUGCCUAAUAACACCACCGAGCCUCAAAUACUUGACCAUAAGAAUACAUCUUAAACUCUACGUUAAAAGACGAUUAUGAUACUUUUACAGUGAAUCAGUUCCUCGAAUACCGUCCUCAAGUAUCGUGAGUUUCUCGAAUAUUCGCGAACCACCUGGGGUAGUUCGUUCAUCCCAAACGAAAACAUCGAGUGCAAAGUGUUAAUACUUUACAAGCUAGUCCAGUACAUAUUUUGAGUUUCUAGAACAUUCGAGAACCACCUAGAGUAUCUUGUUCACCCUAAAUAUCGAGCGCAAAGGGUUAAUGGGAUCGUCUGGCCUAACAUCAUCUGAUACACGUUUUUCGAAAUCGUGCAUCACAUUAACAGGGUGAGAGUAUCCGGAACAGUUCGAUGUACGUGCAUCGUUGUUGCGGAGUGUGCGAGGUCGUGUGGUUCCAGCAGGAUGUCACGUGAUAUGCGGUGUGCGGUACGUUGGCCAUUCGUGCUGUACAGUACGAUGCAUUUCCAGUUUGCUAGCCUGAGCUCUACCACCGGCUUAUGCUCGCCUCAAUAGAACGCGUGCUGCGACAUUCUUCGUUUUAUGCCGACACUGUCGCUGCCUCGAAUACGCGGUCACUGGAAUUAAGGGAAGUUCACAUCAUCGAGCACUUGUUAGAGUGAUAAACAACGUUAUCCAGAAGAUCGUAAUCCGUGAUUCAAGUCGCUCUAACGACGCAGCCAUCGAAUGGCAUCGACUGCCCGCGUAACGAAGCGUCGGCGUAGAUCACUGUAGAUCCUCCAGUGGUCUCUGCGAGUGGAAGACUUUCCUUGGGAUGAAUUUUCCUGUAUUGGAAACGGAGGAUAUUUAAGAUCAUAGGGGUUGGGCUGGUGAGAAAGUCUUUUGGAAGGAUUUUCCUGUAUUCGAAAUGGGAUUGUGUAAUAGUUGUUAAUUUGUAGAAUUUCUUUGAGGGGUGUUGGAUUUAUUAGAAUGUUUUCUAAGAUUUUGUAGAUAUGCUUGAUAUAUGAAUUCAUUUUUUUGUCCAAGCUACAACUUUACUUUGAAUAAAACUCUAAAAAAAGGAUGGAAUACUCUGUAUUUUGCUGUAUUAUUCUAUAUCAUGCUGUAUUGUCCUGUAAUACCCUAUGUGUUAUUUUGUACUGUCCUAGAAUAUUCUGUACUAUUAUGUAUUUUACUGUUUCUUAUGUAGUAUUAAGGUGCAUCGUGCUGAAGUAC